This 450-nucleotide ribosomal RNA is filed under the name uncultured bacterium. RNAcentral describes it as "partial 16S ribosomal RNA". It matches the Rfam family "Bacterial small subunit ribosomal RNA", at positions 354 to 796 of the family's 1533-position model. The record is from RNAcentral.
GUGGGGAAUUUUGGACAAUGGGCGCAAGCCUGAUCCAGCAAUGCCGCGUGCAGGAAGAAGGCCUUCGGGUUGUAAACUGCUUUUGUACGGAACGAAAAGGCUCUGGUUAAUACCUGGGGCUCAUGACGGUACCGUAAGAAUAAGCACCGGCUAACUACGUGCCAGCAGCCGCGGUAAUACGUAGGGUGCAAGCGUUAAUCGGAAUUACUGGGCGUAAAGCGUGCGCAGGCGGUUUUGUAAGACAGGCGUGAAAUCCCCGGGCUCAACCUGGGAAUGGCGCUUGUGACUGCAAGGCUGGAGUGCGGCAGAGGGGGAUGGAAUUCCGCGUGUAGCAGUGAAAUGCGUAGAUAUGCGGAGGAACACCGAUGGCGAAGGCAAUCCCCUGGGCCUGCACUGACGCUCAUGCACGAAAGCGUGGGGAGCAAACAGGAUUAGAUACCCGUGUAGUCC